UACCAGCACCCCGAGUGGUCGGGACGUUUAUUGGGCCUAAAGCAUCCGUAGCCGGUUCUACAAGUCUUCCGUUAAAUCCACCUGCUUAACAGAUGGGCUGCGGAAGAUACUAUGGAGCUAGGAGGCGGGAGAGGCAAGCGGUACUUAGUGGGUAGGGGUAAAAUCCGUUGAUCCAUUGAAGACCACCAGUGGCGAAGGCGGCUUGCCAGAACGCACUCGACGGUGAGGGAUGAAAGCUGGGGGAGCAAACCGG
RNAcentral lists this ribosomal RNA (253 nucleotides) under uncultured bacterium. RNAcentral's name for it is "partial 16S ribosomal RNA". It matches the Rfam family "Archaeal small subunit ribosomal RNA", at positions 474 to 727 of the family's 1478-position model. The record is from RNAcentral.